RNAcentral lists this long non-coding RNA (1294 nucleotides) under Numida meleagris (helmeted guineafowl). Its description in RNAcentral is "lncRNA (ENSNMEG00000021048.1)". Lineage: Eukaryota; Metazoa; Chordata; Aves; Galliformes; Numididae. The record is from RNAcentral.
GAGGAGCCCAUGGCAGCAUGGGGUGAGGAUGCAAGAGGAGCCUCUCCAAGCCUUCCUUCCAAUGGAAGGAAGUGCCACCAUUUCCUCAGCCCUUGGGCAAAUAAAGGUACGAUUUCAAACCUGUGCUCCUCUGACACACAGCUUCCCCCUGAACCUGUGUGAAACGACUGAUGAUCAUUUGUUACGUGAAGAGCGAGCCUUGUGAGAACUUGGCGUGAUCAAAGCCUGCUGCUUACAGAUGGAGGUGCUGAUGCUGCAGUAAGGCUGACAGCUUCCUUCUGUACUUCCUUAAUCAAAGAGGAGGGGGGAAUAAGACCCUUCAAAGUAUUGGAGGCAGUGUAACAGCACAUGGUGUCUGACUUCAAGGAGGUGCACCGCCCAUGGGCGUUACAGACCAGGUUCCAGGAAAGCUUUCCGCUGUUUCUGUGAAUCCCUGUUUGGCAGAGCACAAAAGCAUGUCCUGUUCUGCAGUGAAAUGCAUGUAAAAAAAAUUUGGUAAUACUGAUUUACAGUUGUGCUUGGAUUAUGCUGUGGAAGAAGGCUGAUGAGUUUAAGGCAAGCAGUCACACAAGUAGCUGUGGUGACAAGCUCAGUAACACAGUGCAGAGAAACAUAUUGUCACUGGGCUGAUCAAGCAGAGAAAUUACCUCAGUUUAUACUUGGGGAUGAACUCUGUGCUCCUCUGGCCAACAUGGACAGGAAGAGGACAGAUGUAAGGACAGAGUGGGGUUCAUUUUAACUUGAUUGCUUGUCUUGGUAUGCAGUGGAAGUAAAACGAGAUGAUUUAGAAAGAUAUUAAUUACUAUAAUUUCUUACUAUGUAAUAUUUGAUUGUUUUACUUGAGUAAGCAUAAAUUGGUAAAGCUCGCAUCAGGAAAUGUCACUGUUUGUGAAGGCCCAGCAGAGGUUGCUUUCUUCUCUUGAGUGACCAACAUUGUAAGAUCCUGUGUAUGUUCUUAGCAAUCAGAAAUGUUAUUUGACAAGCCAGGACAUUUUUAACCUGCUGAAGAGAGGCCCUCCUACAGCAGAGCUUAAUGACGUGGAUAAAGUUGCUAUUUGCGUUCUUCCUUUCAUACUUGAUAAGAAAAUGGAGGCUUGUAUUAUUAUUUUUUAAGGGCUAAGGACCUCUCAGUCAAGAUAAAUGAAAGGUGGUCUUUAGUGCUGUAACCACCAGCUGUGUUCAGAGCUGAACAACAGGAGUUGUUCUAAAUAUUGUUGGACUCCUACACAAAUGUUCAAGGGCUUAAUCUUGUAAUAUAAAUGUAUAUAAGUUGUUACACACAAAUGACUCUUUU